CUUCCGUAGUGACCUGCGGGGGGAUCAUUCCCCCCCUAUAAAACUUUCCACGUGAACCGUUUCAAACCCAAUAGUUGGGGGUCUUAUUUGGCGGCGGCUGCUGGCCCUAAUUGUUGGCGGCUGCUGCUGAGUGAGCCCUAUCAAAAAAAAGGCGAACGUUUGGGCUUCGGCCUGAUUUAGUAGUCUUUUUUUCUUUUAAACCCAUUCCUUAAUACUGAAUAUACUGUGGGGACGAAAGUCUCUGCUUUUAACUAAAUAGCAACUUUCAGCAGUGGAUGUCUAGGCUCGCUCAUCGAUAAAGAACGCUGCGAACUGCGAUACGUAAUGCGAAUUGCAGGAUUCAGUGAGUCAUCGAAAUUUUGAACGCAUAUUGCACUUCCGGGUUAGUCCUGGAAGUAUGCCUGUAUCAGUGUCCGUACAUUAAACUUGACUUUCUUCCUUCCGUGUAGUCGGUGGAGGAGAUGUCAGAUGUGAAGUGUCUUGCGAUUGGUCUUCGGACCGGCUUGCGAGUCCUUUUAACUCCCCUCAACUGAGCUUCUCUUUGCUCGAAAAGUGGUGGCGUUGCAGGUUGUGAAGGCUGCUAUUGUGGCAAAUUGCCGACUGGUUUGUCUGCUGCGGCGUUAAUGGAAGAGUGUUCGAUUCGUGGUAUGGUUGGCUUCGGCUGAACAAUGCACUUAUUGGACGUUUUUCCUGCUGUGGCGUGAUGGACUGGUGAACCAUAGCUCGGUGGCUUGGCUUUUGAAUUGGCUUUGCUGUUGCGAAGUAGGGUGGCAGCUUCGGUUGUCGAAGGUCGAUCCAUUUGGGAACUUAAUGUGUACUUCGGUAUGCAUCUCAAUUGGACCUGAUAUCAGUCAAGAUACCCCACUUUCCCUU
RNAcentral lists this ribosomal RNA (873 nucleotides) under Phytophthora colocasiae. RNAcentral's name for it is "eukaryotic LSU rRNA". The stretch from base 261 to 415 matches the Rfam family "5.8S ribosomal RNA". Lineage: Eukaryota; Oomycota; Peronosporomycetes; Peronosporales; Peronosporaceae. The record is from RNAcentral.